CAGCCGCCGCGGUAAUACGUAGUUGGCAAGCGUUGUCCGGAAUUAUUGGGCGUAAAGGGCUCGCAGGCGGUUUCUUAAGUCUGAUGCGAAAGCCCCCGGCUCAACCGGGGAGGGUCAUUGGAAACUGGGAAACUUGAGCGCAGAAGAGGAGAGUGGAAUACCACGUGUAGCGGUGAAAUGCGUAGAGAUGUGGAGGAACACCAGUGGCGAAGGCGACUCUCUGGUCUGUAACUGACGCUGAGGAGCGAAAGCGUGGGGAGCGAACAGGAUUAGAUACCCCGGUAGUCCCUGUCUCUUAUAC
RNAcentral lists this ribosomal RNA (301 nucleotides) under uncultured bacterium. RNAcentral's name for it is "partial 16S ribosomal RNA". It matches the Rfam family "Bacterial small subunit ribosomal RNA", at positions 509 to 807 of the family's 1533-position model. The record is from RNAcentral.